RNAcentral lists this long non-coding RNA (4559 nucleotides) under Pomacea canaliculata. RNAcentral describes it as "uncharacterized LOC112563330". Lineage: Eukaryota; Metazoa; Mollusca; Gastropoda; Architaenioglossa; Ampullariidae. The record is from RNAcentral.
ACCCCAGGACCAUGAUGGCGCACAGCAGCAGCCAGUGACAAGGAAAUGGAGGCAUUCUAUUGACAUCUAAGGCUGCCUUUGACAUAUGCCAGGCCAAGAGGAAUGUGACCACAGUCUCCCUUCUCAUGGAAAAAGCGAGGAAGGGGGAGGCUGGUGGCUAGAUAGUGGAGCACAUUUAGCAGGCAGGGCAGGUAGGACGUGUCCAUCCAUGUGGGUGUCUGCUGCAGUUGUACAGGACGAAUGCCACUCACGGCUGACAAGUCGGGGGAGACGGGAGGGAUGCUUUAGUGUCCUGGCUUUGGUUGCCGUCGUGAGCAGAUGAGGCGUGACCGGAGGGGCGGGGAGGCGAGGUCAGCCUGCACCUCCCAGAGAGAAGGACGAGACAAUGUGGUGACUGUUUGCUGUCAGUGCUUACUAUUCUCCGCGCGUAGUGCUGCGACAUUAUCUACCUCUGUAGCCGUCAUUCCUUACUCCUGUCAUAACAUUACAACAUGUGACGAUGGAGGUGCCACGGGAAGUAUGCAUCCGUCUGGUAAAAUAACCGUGAAGAUAUGAGAGUUGUGAUGGGGGCAUGAGUGGCAGAGUAAUCUCAACUUAAUAAGUUUCUGACAGCGUGGCCGUGACAAGAAUGUGGCGCCAACCACAGAACGUCCUAGAAGACGGAUCACCAACCUCAAGCAGCUAUACAGCAGCAGAGUGUUCAGUUCUUAUUAACAUUUCUAAGUCAAGCUAACCCCGCAUUCAAAACAAACAAAAAAGCCGUGACAAGCAGGUCUGUGUAAGCGCCGGGCUAUAAAUACAUGUUGUCAACAAAAAUAGCGAGAGAGGCGGCAGGCGGCACAAGAAUGGCCGGCAGGGAAAGUGGAGAGGGCGGAUGGCAGGACAUCGCAAUGAUCGGAAUGCUGCCCGCCUGUCGAUGUGGGACCCUCCGCACUGGUGUGGCCGUUAGUUGUCAACUUGUCUUUGCUCUCACACACCCGCCCAUCGAUGAUGUCAUAGGCAUGGCGCCCAGUGUCCAGGCGGUUUGCACUUCUCGCCGAUCAACCGAAAAGUGAAUGCGUUAGAGAAGAUGAGGACAGCCUGAUCUGUUUUGUUAGCGCUUUACGCCGUGCCAGCAACUAUAUCAGGGCGAGAGAAAGUAAUGUUAAACAAAACCUCCAGGUGAGAUAACAUCCUAAAUAACAAAAGCCAUCAGGGACCUCAACCAUCAUAAUCCCAUCCUCCCCCGACACGGCAAACGCAGGGGGCAAAAGAGCAGGCCAUCAAAAGAAUGACAUGAUGGAAAAAGAUAACAGGAGAAAGACCAAUGUAGACAGAUGAUAGGAAAGAAAAAACUGUAUGAUGACAGGGAGGGGGUUUGUUAGAAAGACAGUAUAGGUGAAAAGGCCGGUGAGACAGAAAAAAUAAAAGCGUAAGAGAAAGGGGUGGCCAGCUUAGUCACCCUGCCAGACACGGGCUGGAUGCUCACCCCCAGCAUGAGAAGUAAGGCCCACGUGGAGGACGACACUCUGAAGCGACUGCUCGGUUGAGCUGGCACAUACACUUUGUCUCUCUGUCUCAUGUCUAGCAGAGUAUCAUUGGAAUAUCCUUGUAUCAAUGUGUCAGUUUGAAAACAAAUGCUCCCCACUAGGGCUUUAUGUUUUAGGUGUCGGCGGUUUGUUGAUGUGGGUGUUGUGAGUGCCACCUGGCACCAUUCACAGUCUGUAGCCACUCGGCUCGCUUCCUGUGGUGGCGGCACCGUGUUUUCACAUUACCAUUGUCUACAAGUCCUCAGUGGACAAGCAGAAUGCACACCGACGCACUCACCCCCACUCACACGAGACACAGACGAUGAUGAUAAUGUAACCCACAUCCUCCCGUUCUGGUGGCUUCAGGUUUCUGGCCUCGACAAGCGGAAUUGAAUGAGAAUUGAGACAGAAGGCAGACGUAAAGGAAAAAUGAAAGCAAAUGUAGUGUCAUCUCCUUUCCUGAAAAAAAAAAAAAAAAAAGCACACAGCGGUGCUGAGGUAUUUCCACGUUCCAGGACGCAGCCGCCGAUGUUCUGUUCAGUUCUGCUUUGCCCGCUAACCAAACUGUAUUAAGUAUAUUAAGCGGACAGGGCGACCUGGCAGCCAGCAAGUCAAGUGCAUCUCGUACUCACUCAAAUCAGAACCGCCCUCCCCCGCCCCUGUCCUCACACUACACCACCCCCUCUCCACGUGCGCUUGAGAGCCAGUGCGAUCCUUGUUCUUGUGUUUGCAAACACCAGCAAAAGCCGCUUCCACCAGGAGUCUCGAGCUUACACGACAGAGAAGGUGACGACAGGAGGAGAGAGGAGGAAGUCAUUUGAAGGGGUUGGGGUGGGAGCUGAUAACUUUUGUGAUAACAAAGACACAGACCAGCGAAAAUGUUUGAUUAGACAUCGGAAAGCGCUCACAGAGACUGUUCGAUCAUCUGUAUAUCGAACACUGAUACAAGUACAGGUAGGUAGACGUGAGUCUCUCUCUCUCUCAACCACAUGUCCCUUCAAAAAAACUCCUCUUAUAAUGUUGACUGACUCUACCAGGACCUUACACUCCCCCCCGAAGGCUGUGGCCUUAUGAGGUCCAUUACACGGAUGUAGAGAUGACAGGACCAGAUGUAGACAGACUUACAGCAAGCUGCCAUCCCCCUGUGACUCACCAAACAACCAGUAAAUACCAGCCCAGACGCUUCCAGCGCCUGCCAGACAUUUUCCAUUUCAACUAAUAGCCACGAGGCUGGUGUCGGACCAUCACAGUGAACAACAACACAUAAUAGACCAGCAGCUGGCCGCAGUUCACACCAUUCCACAGUUCAUUGACAUUUAAAAACAGACACAGGAUUUCGUCAACCUAUUCGCCUGGUAAUUUCCACAGAAUGGAGUCUGUGGGCAGAGUUGGACGAAAGUUCGUUACAGCUGAAGGAAGAGGUGUUCAGUGUCUAGAUGUCAGUCAUCUAACAGUUUCAUGCUAAAUGGAAAAGAUUCAAUGAGUAGGUGUUGGUCGUUCACCUGCUACACGUGGAAAACUAAGAUUUCAAUCAACUGUUACGUUUAACAACAAUUUGCAUCUUCUUCGCGACUUCCCAAAGUAUGCUCAGUCUGUUAUAAUACCUAUACAGUAUGAACUAUAUUUUACUGCGCCAAACAAAAGUUUUCUUCAACAUGAAGAACAUGUGUGACCAGCACCGGACAUUACAGCGAGGAAAUAGUUUAAAGCUUGACACGAGUUUUGUAUGGGACACCGCGAUGUCUGUGUAAACAAACAGUGUGUGUUACGGACACAGAUAAACAAAAACAUAUAAAGGCGAGGAGGAGGAGAAGGAGGAGUCAAUCUUGACCUGACUCAAGAACAGUACAAGCCCACAUCCCCGAGAAACGACUGCUCAACACUCGAUCCUUAAUUAGGGCGGUUCUGAAUAUUUGGAAAGAAGAAAUGGAGGACGAAUAAAAUAAUCUGUUGUAUAUAUUUUUUUUAAUUUUGUCGCAUAUCAUGGGCGUACCUGGUUGACGCAUCGUCCCACAGUGUACAUCUGCACUUUCCCCUCUAAGUAUUACCGCCCUCCAAUGAGCUCAAAUCAUCUUAUCAAAGGACACGCCGCUAGUUUCGUCACUCGACGUGAAGACAGAUGUUAGUUAUCCAAAUACUGCUGACGGCAGCAAAGUAAUAUAACCGUUGCUGCUGCUGCUGCUUCUACCAGUAUAUCAACCAUCGUCGCCGUCGCCUGUAAAGAACGUGGGACUGAUUUACAUGAGAGAGAAGGAACACGAUCCUGCCAUGCUGUGGUAGCCAGAAGUGGCAACAGACCAGACUGGCACAAAAGCCUUACAACGCAGACCGAGGACAAAGCUUUUCUAUGUUUUGCUUGAUUCGAUGAUAAGAAAGGGCAGUCAGGGAAGGGGGAGACUGGAGGGGACCCCACAUCUGUUUUGCCGCCUCUCUUCUUGAUGGACAUACUGAGACAGCUACCUGGUACAGACACCUGGUAUGUUUUGGUUGCUAACGACGACUCUGACACUCACCAAACCACGUUUGCAGUUUGCCAGUCCCCUCAAGUCAAGUCCCUCUAAUGGCCCUGCCCAAGUCCUGUCACAGGGCCAGAGUUGAUCGCGGAUUACGAUAAAACACUGGCAAUCAAUGGCAGCUCCGUAAGCACGGGCUCAAGAUACCCUCCCCCCUAGGAGAGUGGUGUUUGCGCUUCAGGUGUGCACACAGUCAGCCCGAUCUUCAGGUACAGGUGGGUCGAGGCGACCUAGGCCCAAUACAUACAGUGUUACACAGCCCUACAGCGGGUCGUUUGUGCAAGAACAGAUCCUUAUCACCGCAAGAAAAUAUCCCCUUCACGCACGUGUGGGCCUCAUGCAACAUACAUGAGAUACAAACAACGCACCUUUUCCAUGGAAACGCAUACAGAAACAAUUAGUUUAGUCCUUGUUACACCUCAAGGAGCACAGGGCCGCAACAGCACCUCGCCAACGGACUCGGUUUUGGGGCAGCUACCCUCAGUUGGGCCAUGUGGUUCCGACGUCCUUCCGCUAACAAACAAAACAAACAAACAAA